This 439-nucleotide ribosomal RNA is filed under the name uncultured bacterium. Its description in RNAcentral is "partial 16S ribosomal RNA". It matches the Rfam family "Bacterial small subunit ribosomal RNA", at positions 339 to 795 of the family's 1533-position model. The record is from RNAcentral.
CUACGGGGGGCAGCAGUGGGGAAUAUUGCACAAUGGGGGAAACCCUGAUGCAGCAACGCCGCGUGGAGGAUGACGCAUUUCGGUGUGCAAACUCCUUUUAUAUAGGAAGAUAAUGACGGUACUAUAUGAAUAAGCACCGGCUAACUCCGUGCCAGCAGCCGCGGUAAUACGGAGGGUGCAAGCGUUACUCGGAAUCACUGGGCGUAAAGCGCGCGCAGGCGGCCUUUUAAGUUGGAUGUGAAAGCCUAUGACUUAACCAUAGAACUGCAUCCAAAACUAUCAGGCUAGAGUCUGGGAGGGGAAGAUGGAAUUAGUUGUGUAGGGGUAAAAUCCGUAGAGAUAACUAGGAAUACCAAAAGCGAAGGCGAUCUUCUGGAACAGUACUGACGCUGAGGCGCGAAAGCGUGGGGAGCAAACAGGAUUAGAUACCCUCGUAGUC